Molecule: ribosomal RNA, 462 nt
Filed under: Escherichia coli
Lineage: Bacteria; Pseudomonadati; Pseudomonadota; Gammaproteobacteria; Enterobacterales; Enterobacteriaceae
Description: bacterial SSU rRNA
Rfam family: Bacterial small subunit ribosomal RNA
Source: RNAcentral
UGAGUAAUGUCUGGGAAACUGCCUGAUGGAGGGGGAUAACUACUGGAAACGGUAGCUAAUACCGCAUAACGUCGCAAGACCAAAGAGGGGGACCUUCGGGCCUCUUGCCAUCGGAUGUGCCCAGAUGGGAUUAGCUAGUAGGUGGGGUAACGGCUCACCUAGGCGACGAUCCCUAGCUGGUCUGAGAGGAUGACCAGCCACACUGGAACUGAGACACGGUCCAGACUCCUACGGGAGGCAGCAGUGGGGAAUAUUGCACAAUGGGCGCAAGCCUGAUGCAGCCAUGCCGCGUGUAUGAAGAAGGCCUUCGGGUUGUAAAGUACUUUCAGCGGGGAGGAAGGGAGUAAAGUUAAUACCUUUACUCAUUGACGUUACCCGCAGAAGAAGCACCGGCUAACUCCGUGCCAGCAGCCGCGGUAAUACGGAGGGUGCAAGCGUUAAUCGGAAUUACUGGGCGUAAAG